Gossypium raimondii (Peruvian cotton) is the source of this 2592-nucleotide RNA transcript. It is a transcript of the gene named DNA-directed RNA polymerase III subunit 2-like, with no coding region annotated. NCBI's taxonomy places the organism in Eukaryota, Viridiplantae, Streptophyta, Magnoliopsida, Malvales, Malvaceae. The transcript has 5 exons. The record is from RefSeq and is a predicted model, not a curated record.
UUAAUCUACUAGCUUUAGAUUUAUACAAUUUUUUUUCACUUUAUUAAAGAAUGAGAUUUAUUUAAAAAAAUAUGUACUUUUUAUUUAAAAUAAUGUUUAAAAUAUAAACUUUUGGGGUUAAUUUUUUUAUAAUUUCAAGUUUAAAAAUAUAAAAAGUGAAAAAUUUAAAUAUAAUAUCCAAAAGAUUGAAGAUAAUACAAUGGGAUGCAAGAAGUGUGCCUUUGUCCCAAAAGGUAAAAUUUUAUUCAACCCUUCAAGAAUUGUAAAAUAUAAAUUAAUACAGUAAUAAAAUUAUAUUUUAACCCUCCAAAUAUUUAUAUUUCAAAUUUGGUUCUCCUAAAAGUUUGUAUGAAGCUAGAUUUGAUAUAAGAUAUAUAAAUAAUGGCAUAAAUAAUAUUUUAAUAAAAUAACAAAAAUAAUGAACUCAAGAAAAAAUCAUGAAAAAGAAAAGGCAUAAUGAUAAAUUAGCCCCUAAAGUUUACUCCUUUUCCAUUGUAGUUCUAAUUUUGUUUAAGCUUUAAAUUUUAGUCAAAUUAUUUUUUGUUGAACGGAAAAGCUGAUUGAGCUAUUAAAAUUUUAACAAACUGAUGUGAUAGUUCGCGUGACAAUUCAUGUAUAUUUCAACUGUGGCAGAGCUAAGUGUGAUUGGUAGGGCUUCGGCCUUCCCUAAAAUGAAAAAUUUUCUAUUUAGGUUCUUUAUAAUUUAUAAAAUUUUAAAUUAGCAAUAAUAAAAUUAUACUUUGCCCUCUUAAAAAUAAUAAAAAUUUAAUUUAAUUUUUUAAAAAUUAUAAAGAUGUAGACUAUUAAACUAGUGAAUUAAAAUGGUAAAAUUGCAUGUUUACGAUAGUAAACCUAUACACUGGCCAUCAAAUAUAUAUAGAAAAAAAGAAUUUUCUUUUUUCUUGUGGAAAACCCGUCAGCUUAAUGUUUCUGAAUUACCGGUGGACAAACAAAAGCUUACUGCUCCAAUAAAAUCAACUGCUGACAAGUUUCAGCUUCUCCCUGAGUUUUUAAAGGUUAGAGGGUUAAUGAAGCAGCAAGUGGAUUCUUUUGAUUAUUUGGUUAAUACUGGGAUUAAGAAGAUUGUUCGUGUCAAUGACAGGAUUGUAUCUGAUAUUGAUCCCAGUAUUUACCUCAGGUAUUCAGCACCGAUAUUCGUCAACGGAGAGUACAUUCAAGUUAGAUAUGGGCAGAAAACUAGACUAGAAAAGGUGAAGCAGAACUCACAAGGCCAUAUCCCCAUCACAAUCAGUCACCAAGAAAUACCUACCAGGUUUUUUUACAUCUUGAACUUGGUUUACAUGUGAACUGUAAUUUUUGCUUUUAUCAUCUCUAAAUGUUUCUGUAUUUGUAGUCAUGUGCUAUGGGGAAGCAAGCAAUGGGAAAUAUUGCAUAUAACCAGACAAGCAGUAUUACUUAGUAUACUUUAAAUUUAUUUUCCUACCUUUGAACAAAGAGUCCUUGUAUGUCACCGCUCAGUUGCUAAGGAUUUAGCCUUCAACCUUCUCAGGCGAGGCUAUUUUUAUUGCGUGCUCAUCCUAGUGCGCUUUAUUGUGCAUUAGGCUUCAACACAAGGUGAUGAAAAAGCUAGCUUGACAGAAGCUGUGAAGUAACAUUUAAGUCCUUAAUUUUUUAUUUUAAAACUCAAAUAUCCACUUAAGUUUAUGAAGGUUUCGUUAGUCUAAAACAAGCAUCUACUGUUUUCCAUAAGCUAUGCUUAACUUGAAGUGAUUAAAUAACCUUUUAUCCAUGAUUUUCCAGUGGUGAAGUACGGUUCUUUCUUUUUACAUUUUCACUGCUGGGAUUAUUGACAGUAACUAGCUUCAGUCUCAAAAUAACCAUCUUUUGACAUAGGUUUGCAGAAAAUGUGGUUUGUUAGGAUACUACAGCCAUAAGCUGAAAACUGGGAUUUGUUCUUCAUGUAAAAACGGAGAUAAUGUUUCUACUAUGAAACUACCGUACGCAUGCAAGCUUUUAAUCCAGGCAAGGGCGAAGCCAGGAAACUUUGGUUGGGAGUUGAGAGUGUCAGGAUAAGAAUAUAAAUUGUUGGGGGGUCAAACUUAAAAUUUUUAUGCGAAAAAGAUUAAACUGUAAUCCUAAAUAGUAAGAAGGGCUCAAACUGCAACAUGCUCAUUUUAUCCCCCCUUUGGAUUCGCCCCUGCACACGGGUGUAGCAUGGUACUUGUUAGUUCCACUUCUGAGCACAUGUAUUCGAAAAGCACGUAUUUCAUUUAUAUUUACUCCAACUUGGAUCAAGUGCCGGAUAUGAGUAUGUUCCGAUAUUGGUAUGUUCAACUUUUUCAAUGUUUUUUCAUGGUAUUUGGAGAGCCCUUGGAGGGUGUUAUAUCCUCGUAUCCAUGUCCAGGUAUGAGUUAGACAUGGAGUACUUCAAGAGAAACGAAGAAUAAGAGCAACAUAUUAUUUCUUAAGUUUGUUGUUUGCUAUGGUUAUUCAAGUUGUUGGAAAUUGUAAUUUAUUCAUGAUUUGGUUCGAUAUUCUUUGUCUUUAUCGAACUUUUCUCGGUAUUGGUUUUCUUUGUUCAUCUCUUAUUACGACGAGAUAUAAAAAGGGGAGUUAUACUUAGAAUCGGAA